Molecule: ribosomal RNA, 253 nt
Filed under: uncultured bacterium
Lineage: Bacteria
Description: partial 16S ribosomal RNA
Rfam family: Bacterial small subunit ribosomal RNA
Source: RNAcentral
UACGAAGGGGGCUAGCGUUGCUCGGAAUCACUGGGCGUAAAGGGUGCGUAGGCGGUUCUCCAAGUCCGUUGUGAAAGCCCCGGGCUCAACCUGGGAAUGGCAGUGGAAACUAGGGGACUGGAAUCUGGCAGAGGGGGGUGGAAUGCCGCGUGUAGCAGUGAAAUGCGUAGAGAUGCGGCGGAACACCGAUGGCGAAGGCAGCCCCCUGGGCUGAGAUUGACGCUCAGGCACGAAAGCGUGGGGAGCAAACAGG